This 867-nucleotide non-coding RNA is filed under the name unidentified. The record is from RNAcentral.
AAAGAGUUUUGCUCUGGCUCGAAAAUAAACAAAUUAAACUAUUUCUAUUAUACUAAUAUGCCAGCUAUAAGCCCACCAACAAUAAACUAAAUAACUAAAAGUAAAAGAAAAUUUUAAGAGUAUUAGGUAAUAAAAAAAUUCUAAAAUUAUUGACAACGCAAUAGAUAAUAUUUUAAAAAUAGUGAAAACUAGUAUAAGAAAUAGAAAAUAUAAACGGAAAAAGUUGUGCCAGCAUCUGCGGUUAAACAUCUUAUUUAAAGUUUAAUAAAUAAGUUAAAUGGAAAUUUUAAAAAGAUAAUUAAAUAAAUUAAAUAAAGGUCGAAUUUAUAAACCUAAUUACUAAACCAACUUCUCUUAUAAAAACCCCAUGAAAGUUAAAAACAGAACUAGGAUUAGAAACCCUACUACCUUUAACCAUAAAUAAAAUAGACUAAGGUAUUACGAGCAAUUAGCUUAAAACCUAAAGAGCAUGACGGCUUUCUAAACUUCCAGGGAAGCUUGUUACAGAAACGAUAAUCCGCGCUAAACCUCUCCUUCUUUAGAAAUAUUAACUAAAAAAUUAAUCAGCCUGUAUACCUCCGUCAAAAGUUAACCUUCUAAAAGAAAAUAAGUUAACCAAAGAAAAAUAUUCCAAAAUAUCAGGUCAAGGUGCAGCCUAUAAGAAGGUAAUAAUAAGCUACGAUAUAAAUAAUUAUUGGAAUCAACCAUAAAAAUGGGUGAUAAAACAGUACUUGGUAGUAAUAAAAUAUUAAAAUAAUUUUAUGAAAAACACAUAGAAAGUGUACAAAUCGCCCGGCAAUCCUUUCUCUCUCUAGAAAGGAUAAGUCGUAACAAAGUAGACGUACUGGAAAGUGCGUCUAAAAUAGU